UAGGGAAUCUUCCGCAAUGGACGAAAGUCUGACGGAGCAACGCCGCGUGAGUGAAGAAGGAUUUCGGUUCGUAAAACUCUGUUGUUAGGGAAGAAAAAAUGUAUAGUAACUAUAUACAAAAGAGACGGUACCUAACCAGAAAGCCACGGCUAACUACGUGCCAGCAGCCGCGGUAAUACGUAGGUGGCAAGCGUUGUCCGGAAUUAUUGGGCGUAAAGCGCGCGCAGGUGGUUUAGAAAGUCUGAUGUGAAAGCCAACGGCUCAACCGUGGAGGGUCAUUGGAAACUAAUAAACUUGAGUGCAGGAGAGAAAAGUGGAAUUCCUAGUGUAGCGGUGAAAUGCGUAGAGAUUAGGAGGAACACCGGUGGCGAAAGCGGCUUUUUGGCCUGCAACUGACACUGAGGCGCGAAAGCGUGGGGAGCGAACAGG
Molecule: ribosomal RNA, 429 nt
Filed under: Verrucomicrobiota bacterium
Lineage: Bacteria; Pseudomonadati; Verrucomicrobiota
Description: Verrucomicrobia bacterium partial 16S ribosomal RNA
Rfam family: Bacterial small subunit ribosomal RNA
Source: RNAcentral